This 300-nucleotide ribosomal RNA is filed under the name uncultured Ferroglobus sp. RNAcentral's name for it is "partial 16S ribosomal RNA". The stretch from base 52 to 300 matches the Rfam family "Bacterial small subunit ribosomal RNA", at positions 547 to 795 of the family's 1533-position model. The record is from RNAcentral. Lineage: Archaea; Methanobacteriati; Methanobacteriota; Archaeoglobi; Archaeoglobales; Archaeoglobaceae.
GGGAUAGGGGGGCGAGCGGGCGAGGUAAGAGGGAGGGGGUGAGCGUGGCUCGGAAUGACUGGGGGGAAAGGGGGCGUAGGCGGUGCAUAGAGGCAGAUGUGAAAGUCCUGGGCGUAACCGGGGGGCUGCAUUUGAUACGGGUGGGCUUGAGUGGGGAAGAGGGUCGUGGAAUUCCCAGUGUAGAGGUGAAAUUCGUAGAUAUUGGGAAGAACACCGGUGGCGAAGGCGGCGACCUGGUCCUUGACUGACGCUGAGGCGCGAAAGCGUGGGGAGCAAACAGGAUUAGAUACCCUGGUAGUC